Molecule: ribosomal RNA, 492 nt
Filed under: uncultured bacterium
Lineage: Bacteria
Description: partial 16S ribosomal RNA
Rfam family: Bacterial small subunit ribosomal RNA
Source: RNAcentral
AGUGAACGCUGGCGGUAGGCCUAACACAUGCAAGUCGAACGGCAGCACAGUAAGAGCUUGCUCUUACGGGUGGCGAGUGGCGGACGGGUGAGGAAUACAUCGGAAUCUACUUUUUCGUGGGGGAUAACGUAGGGAAACUUACGCUAAUACCGCAUACGACCUACGGGUGAAAGCAGGGGAUCUUCGGACCUUGCGCGAUUGAAUGAGCCGAUGUCGGAUUAGCUAGUUGGCGGGGUAAAGGCCCACCAAGGCGACGAUCCGUAGCUGGUCUGAGAGGAUGAUCAGCCACACUGGAACUAGGACACGGUCCAGACUCCUAAGGGAGGCAGCAGUGGGGAAUAUUGGACAAUGGGCGCAAGCCUGAUCCAGCCAUACCGCGUGGGUGAAGAAGGCCUUCGGGUUGUAAAGCCCUUUUGUUGGGAAAGAAAAGCAGCAGGUUAAUACCCCGCUGUUCUGACGUUACCCAAAGAAUAAGCACCGGCUAACUUCGUG